This 3080-nucleotide long non-coding RNA is filed under the name Homo sapiens (human). Its description in RNAcentral is "HSALNT0338849". The record is from RNAcentral. Lineage: Eukaryota; Metazoa; Chordata; Mammalia; Primates; Hominidae.
GUUCGGAUCCAGGGCCCCAGCCUUCCUCUCUCCAUAAAAGGAGGGGGAGUCAGUCUUUGGGGAAGGAGGGGGGCGGGUUUGGGGCACUCACCUGGCGGCUGCCACGCGCCCCCGCCCAGGAUCCGAGGCCUGGGGCAUCUGAAUGAGGACCCUCCACCCACAUUUCCACUUGGGAGCGAGCUCCAGUCGGGGAAAGGGCCUGCAGCCCGCCUCGUCCCCACCCUGGGACCCCGCGCCCCCCAGUCCCCCACUCCCGCGCCGAAGGCAGGGCCGCGCCCUGAGCCGGGAAGUCGAGGGGAUGGAAGGGAAAGGAGCCACCGGUGAGGGUCCCCCGGGUUCUGAGCCUCCCGCGUCGGGAUCCGUGGGGCGCACAGAGCGCCACCUCCGGCCGAGGCGCAGCUCAGAGCGCGAUGCGGGGGAGGAACGCGCGCGGAGGCCGAGGUCUGAGCGUGGCUAGACGGCUCCCACGCCGAGAAAGGGCGGGUGCGCCUGGGCUGGAUGGAUUUCGCCUCCCUAGACCAGGAGGGAUUGGACCCUGACUACAGGUCCAGGUGCUCGUCAGUGCCCUGCCAGGGGGUCUACGCGUCCUGGUACCGGGUCCAGCGGGGUGGCGUGCUGUGCAGACCCCGAGGCUAGACGGCCUAGGCCCCUGGAGCCCAGGAGACGCUUCCUUGGGUGAGCAGCGGAGAAUCCCGCCCGGCCCAGCCGUCACCCCCAACCCUGUCGAUUAAACCCCUGCCCCCGUCGCGGUCGCCCUCCCUCCAGACAAAGGCCGUUAAGGCGCAGCCCCGCGGGCGGUCUUUCAUCCCCAGCUAGGCCAGCUCUAGCAUUUCAAAGGCCGAAUCCGGAGAGCGCUUCGGGGGCUCUCCCCUUCCCCCAAAUAUUUGGGGAGCGACGCCUCUCCCUCCGCUCCCAGUGGGUCGCGUCUACACGCGCCCUUCCACACACCUGCAGGCCCCCUCCCCACGUCUCUCCCUUCCGUUGGCCGCAGCCCCACACCACGACCCCCGCGGUCAAGCAUGCCCUCUGGGUGGUCAGGACCAAGCGGGACCGGGACAGAACCAGGGGAGCCUUGGAAACGUGGAGGAGCCCCUUAAAGCCAGGCCUUGUCCCUCCAGGGGGAACUUGCGGCUUGGGAGGGGACACCCACUGCAUGGCUUCUGGAAAGAGCCGGACUCGCAGGGCCAGGACGCAGGCCGGACCCCGGCCUCAUUCUUCGGCCAGUUAUCCCGGAGUGGCGCGCAUCCUGUCUUCCUGGGCCUCGGACUGCUCGCGCGCAGAGGGGGCCCGAGGACACCUCUGUGGGGUUAGAGGACUCGGUAAGACGGUGUGGAAGGCAAGGAGGAAGGUCGCGUUGUAUUGGGGAUGGGGUACCCGUCCCUCCCAGCUUGAGGGAUCCUGGGGGUCCUCGCCGCCUCUGAGGGCCUAGAUGGCUGCUUCCCUCGGCUCCCCUGCCCGGCCUGGAGCUACGGGUGCGCCCAGCUAGAGUUUAGGGCCACCUGGGGACGUGCAAGGGGCGCUGGAGCGAGGCGGGGGCUGGGGCGGGGCGUGGGUGCUUCACCCGCGGGGGACGCAGAGCUUAGGCGAAAGCGGUGCAGGCAUCUCUCUAAUCGCCGGCCGCUAUUAAAAAUAAAACCGCGACCCGUCGCCAUGGCGACCACAACAACAGCGGCCGCGCGAGGGAGGCGAAAACUUGUGCAGCCGCGCGACAGCCGCCUUCUGGGGAGACUCGGGGCACGACGCACCCGGCGUGGGACUGGGACCCCCCUGCCCGGCCCCGCCACAUUCUCCGCCGGAUCCCCGGAAGACACAAGGAGACGUGGACCCCCACAGGCUUUUUUGGGGGGAUUGGGCGUUGAAACCGCAGGGCUGACUUAACCAAGAGGUCACCGACUUGGAUAAAAAACCCACGCCCGCGCGGACCCCCCUCCCCGGCCUUCGUUUCCAUUCAAACUCCCAGCGUCCUCAUUGCAGCCCCUGGGGAGGGGGACGGAGGGACGAGGUGGGUUUCAGGUGCUCGGCCCAGGAGGGGACGGUGCGACCCGGGCCCCGCCGGCGGGUUUUGCGCGCGGAGGCUGCGGCACCUGCCCCGCCCGCCCUGCCGCGAUCCUUGCAGACGGGGGCGGUCACAUGCUUCUUUCUGGCCAGGAAUCGAGUUUCACUUCCAGCCGCUAUUAGUCGGUUCACACAGUUCACUGCAAACAUUUGAUAAUGAGGCUAAAUAUACUCCCGCGUCGGAGGAGGCGUGGGCGUCCCCGCCCAGGCCCGGGAGACAGAGGCGCUGACCCCGGGACAGAGCCUGGCUUUGUGCGGGAGGCAGACGCGCCCCGCGCGCCGCCCCCGAAACAUUCGCACCCCAUGCUGAGGCGCGCGUCUGGGAGUCCGUGGGCGCCCCGAGAAAUGAAGUUGAAAAUAGCACAGGAGCCCACUAUCACUGUGUGAACAUUUUGUGAAUGAAGACAUGUAUGAAAGGAUGUUUGGAGGCUUCAAGAAACGAAAGCCGAGAGUCUAGCUAGACCAGAGCCAUCCAGCCCAGGAGCGAUGGCCACGUGUGGCCGCUGGACACGAGAGACGUGGCCAGUCCAAACUGUGCAGUGCGGGGCAGUGGAAGCCGUUGGAGGGCCUCAGGCAGGAACACAAGGUGUCGUGGCAGAAAGGAAGAAGGGGCCGGGCACGGUGGCCCACACCCGUCAUCCCAGCACUUUGGGAGGGAGGCCAAGGCAGGAGGAUCGCUUCAAUCCAGGAGUUCAAGAUCAGCCUGGGCAACACAGCAAGACCCCGUCUCUACUAAAACCCUAAAACUUAGCCAGGCUUGGUGGCAUGUGCCUAAGGUCCCAGGUCCUCGGGAGACUAAGGCAGGAGGAUUGCUUAAGCCCAAGAGUUUGAGGCUGCAGUGAACUAUUAUCACACCACUGCACUCAGCCUGGGUGACAGAGUGACUCUGUCUCAAAACUAAAUAAAUAAACAAUAAUUGUGUUAUUCUGUCUCCAUUUCUCGCAUACUGAAUUUAAGGUGGACUCAGCCAGCGGGUUCAGGCCCAGGGUCUGUCCUGCAGCUACAGUCAGGGUUGGUGGCUGCAG